This 159-nucleotide ribosomal RNA is filed under the name Clostridioides difficile. Its description in RNAcentral is "partial 23S ribosomal RNA". It matches the Rfam family "Bacterial large subunit ribosomal RNA", at positions 2771 to 2925 of the family's 2925-position model. Lineage: Bacteria; Bacillati; Bacillota; Clostridia; Peptostreptococcales; Peptostreptococcaceae. The record is from RNAcentral.
CUGAAAGCAUCUAAGCGCGAAGCCAACUUCAAGAUAAGAUUUCCCACCGCAAGGGUAAGACUCCAGAAAGACUAUCUGGUUGAUAGGUCGAAGGUGUAAGUGCAGCAAUGUAUUUAGCUUAUCGAUACUAAUAGGUCGAGGACUUGACCAAUAUUUAUU